Long non-coding RNA from Daphnia carinata, 2198 nucleotides. RefSeq lists it as uncharacterized. The transcript has 2 exons. Lineage: Eukaryota; Metazoa; Arthropoda; Branchiopoda; Diplostraca; Daphniidae. The record is from RefSeq and is a predicted model, not a curated record.
CUUUUUUCGCUCUCAACCUCUCCGUCCAUUAAAAGAAACACUUUUUUAUUUCCACACUCGACAUAUUGAUCUAAUAUCUUCAGAUGAAUCCGCGCGAACGCGCUUGGAGGUUGCGCUCCGUGAUUGUGUGGUUUGUUCUUUGAAAGAAAGUGACUGUUCUGUUCGGUUUAUAAAUCUCGUGUUCCCUUUUUUUUUUUUGUUUCUACUUCCAAGUAUGUAAUUACAUUUUUUUCCCCUCCUCAGAGUACCAAUUGAACUGUUUAUUUUAUUGAAAUGCAUCAUUUAGUUUUAAACGCAACAGCCGCAGUUGGAAUGAUUGAACACUUUGAGUAAAAAGUGUCCUCAAUAAGACGGUAUGUGUAAAUGAAAAGGAAAGUGAAAAUGAUUGCAAGUACAUUACGGGCGAACAGAAAGAGCGACAUGGAAUUCCAUACCCCAAAUGGGUGAGAACUUAUUCCUGCCGCAAGCUGCUCCCGACUGUUAAUGGUUAUGACGUAACUGGUGGAAGAUUACAUCGUCGUUUACAGUCGAGAUAACCUUUUUUUGAUGACACUUGACUUUCUUUUUUCUUGUUCGGUAUUUCAGCGUUAGAGCUGUAUGAUGCAAACCUAAUCUACUAUCAAAUUUAAAGGCAUCUAGUUAGCUUAGAACUGGCGGAGCAAACGCGGAGUGCGCUACGAAUGUCGAAACCGUUCGCUCUGAUUCCAAGAUUAAAUUCGUGAUAGUGUCAGGUAUUUAGCAAAGUAAUCUGAGGCAUAUUCAGAUUUUGCAUCACCUUUGUUUGCAGUCGUCAUCAAUGAAACAAUAGAUUCAUUAACCUUGUACCCAGAAUGCGCAGCACACGAGCUCGUGCUGAAUUCCAAAAGGUGACGGGAGUCACGAAUUUUCUGACUGUUUUUUUUCCCUCUCCCUCACGAGGUCGCCGACAAUCCGACGACUUGGACGAUCAACGGGAACGUACAACGGAGAACAGAAUAAGAGGCAGAGAAUGGACGCUAUAGUCGAAUUCUUGAAAAGGGAAAAUCGAUACGACCUUGCCGAUCCUUGCCACUGGGCUUUUCAACAUUUCCUUCCAUCGAAGAUCUACACGUCGUCGUGUGCAAGACAUUUAGCGCAUAUCUAUACCUAUCUAUCCCCAAUUGCUCACGACCUUUUACGUCUUUUCGAAACUUUUUAAUAUCUCAGCGUUCACCAGUUCGUCAAGCAUGUUUUGCUUUUUUUUUUCCACGUUUCACUGCCGUCUUUUUUGGUGUUGCGUUAUAACCGACGCCAAAACAUAUCUAUAUAAACAUACUUUGCAUUAUGCAUAACUGACACUUUCAAUGCCACCAGUUGAUUGUCAGUAUUUAUAUGAAGAAAACCAGAGCGUAAGAAGAACAUACAAAUUGGGGUCAGCCAUGACCGACGAGACAAGCGAAUGAAAAAAAAAGUGAAAACAAAGUAUCACUGGCGACGAAUUAGAUUUCUUUUUUCAUUUUUUUUUUGGUUGUUCUCUGAGCCCGGAUACAUAAUACCUCAAUAGCGGAUUUGUGCUGAUCUCGGCAAACUACAAGCGCUGCUACCGCUGUUACGGGACAUGCAUGUAUGCGCGGGUGCGCUCACGCACCAAAAAUGGACCGGGAUGUCGAGUCCAUCCCUUCGCCAUCAGUUCGGGACUCUCGAGAAACAAGAGACCUGACAAAAAAAAAAAAUAGUGACGACGUCGAUUGGCGUCGGUUGCAGACCGAUCUGAUGGAAUGUCUCAUUCGCAUUUAUCCGCAUAAACAAGAAACAUUCUUUCAUUCGUGCCUUGUGUCUGUAGGCCACGGUCGCACUGUGAAAACCCGCAGUAGUCGUACAACAGAAACGAAAACGGAAAAGCGGAUUGGGAUAUUUCUCUCUCUGGCCGUCCCAGAAAUAGGUCGGGCUCAAUGCGCGGGCGCCAACCGGCCAUGCCACCAAACCGUAUUGGUUUACCCUAAACAAGAUGAAAUCCCCAUAUAAAUGAGGAGGAGGUGUGCAUGGGGUUCUCUCUUUCAUUCGACGUCGAUAACCAUGUAGGGAACAUAAGAGAAAUGGAAAUCACACAGAGAUGCAAAGAAAUCCCAGUCAAGGCAAUGGCCAUGGAUUUUGCCCGGUUUGUCUUUUUAUCUUGUAAUUCUUUCUUCUCCGGCUUGAGAAACGAAUUGUUGAAAGAAAUAAAAUGUUUAAACGGUGAA